RNAcentral lists this long non-coding RNA (1239 nucleotides) under Junco hyemalis (dark-eyed junco). Its description in RNAcentral is "lncRNA (ENSJHYG00000008127.1)". Lineage: Eukaryota; Metazoa; Chordata; Aves; Passeriformes; Passerellidae. The record is from RNAcentral.
GAUCCUCACGGAUCCUGGUGGGAAUGAUGGAGAGGACAGGAUCCAUGGGUCCAUGGGUGCCGCGUCCCGCCGUUGCCGGUGUGACGCUGCCGUUCCCGGUGUGACGCCGCCGUUCCCGGUGUGAUGCCGCCGUUCCCGGUGUGACGCCGCCGUUCCCGGCGUGAUGCUGCUGUUCCCGGCGUGACGCCGUUGUUCGUUUCCGGUGCCGUUGCAGCUGGGUCGGUACCUGGAGCAGAACCGGGCGGGCCUGGCCGUGCCCACGCUGGUGCUCUUCGCGCUGCAGGUCAGCAAGGCCCUGGCCUACCUGGAGGCCGUCAGCUGCGUCCACAGGGACAUCGCCGUGCGGAACAUCCUGGUGGCCUCCCCGGAGUGCGUCAAGCUCGGCGACUUCGGCCUCUCGCGCUACAUCGAGGAUGAGGAGUACUACAAAGCUUCCAUCUCCCGCCUCCCCAUCAAGUGGAUGGCGCCGGAAUCCAUCAACUUCCGGCGCUUCACCACGGCCAGUGACGUCUGGAUGUUCGGUGAGGGGCAGGAACGGAGCGGGAUUCCGGGAUUCUGAAUCAUGUGGGAUCUUGGGAUUCAGAAUUGGGGGAUUGUGGGAUUCAGAAUUGGGGGAUCCUGGGAUUCAGAGUUGUGGGAUCCUGGGAUUCAGAUUUGUGGGAUCCUGGUGUUCAGAAUUGGGGGAUUCUAGGAUUCAGAGUUGUGGGAUCCCGGGAUUCAGAAUUGGGGGAUUGUGGGAUUCAGAACUGUGGGAUUCUGGGAUUCAGAGUUGUGGGAUCCUGGUGUUCAGAGUUGGGGGAUUCUGGGAUUCAGAAUUGGGGGAUCCUGGGAUUCAGCAUUGUGGGAUUCUGGGUUUCAGAAUUUUGGGAUUCUUGGAUUCAGAGUUGGGGGAUCCUGGGAUUCAGAAUUGGGGGAUUGUGGGAUUCAGAAUUGGGGGAUUCCAGGAUUCAGAAUUGUGGGAUUCUGGGAUUCAACACUGGGGGGUCCUGGGAUUCAGAGUUGGGGGAUCCUGGGAUUCAGCAUUGUGGGAUUCUGGGAUUCAGAAUCAGGGGAUCCCGGGAAUUCUGAGGAAUUCCUGAUCCCAUCCCGGUGGUGUCCCAGCGCCACAGCUGUGUGCAUGUGGGAGAUCCUGAGUGGGAAAUCCCAGGGCUGUUCCCUCUCCCACGGCACGCACAAGCCCAAAUCCCACUCCAGAAUUUCCCAUUUUUUUUUUCCCAAGUCCAAAUUAUCCCAAAUUUU